AUUGAACGCUGGCGGCAGGCCUAACACAUGCAAGUCGAGCGAGCGGCGGACGGGUGAGUAAUGUAUGGGGACUGCCCGCUAGAGGGGGAUAACUACUGGAAACGGUAGCUAAUACCGCAUACUAUCGGAUAACCCAUAUGGGAUUAGAUCUUAGGUGAGGUAAUGGCUCACCUAGGCGACGAUCCCUAUCUGGUCUGAGAGGAUGAUCAGCCACACUGGAACUGAGACACGGCCCAGACUCCUACGGAGGCAGCAGUGGGGAAUAUUGCACAAUGGGCGAAAGCCUGAUGCAGCCAUGCCGAGGGUAUGAAGAAGGCCCUAGGGUUGUAAAGUACUUUCAGUCGGGAGGCGUUACCGGAAGAAGAAGCACCGGCUAACGCCGUGCCAGCAGCCGCGGUAAUUC
This 403-nucleotide ribosomal RNA is filed under the name uncultured bacterium. Its description in RNAcentral is "partial 16S ribosomal RNA". It matches the Rfam family "Bacterial small subunit ribosomal RNA", at positions 30 to 526 of the family's 1533-position model. The record is from RNAcentral.